GUAGUCAUAUGCUUGUCUCAAAGAUUAAGCCAUGCAUGUCUAAGUAUAAGCAAUUAUACAGCGAAACUGCGAAUGGCUCAUUAAAUCAGUUAUCGUUUAUUUGAUAGUACCUUACUACAUGGAUAACCGUGGUAAUUCUAGAGCUAAUACAUGCUAAAAAUCCCGACUUCGGAAGGGAUGUAUUUAUUAGAUUAAAAACCAAUGCCCUUCGGGGCUCUCUGGUGAUUCAUAAUAACUUCUCGAAUCGCACGGCCUUGCGCCGGCGAUGGUUCAUUCAAAUUUCUGCCCUAUCAACUUUCGACAGCUGGGUCUUGGCCAGCCGUGGUGACAACGGGUAACGGAGGGUUAGGGCUCGACCCCGGAGAAGGAGCCUGAGAAACGGCUACUACAUCCAAGGAAGGCAGCAGGCGCGCAAAUUACCCAAUCCCGACACGGGGAGGUAGUGACAAUAAAUACUGAUACAGGGCUCUUUCGGGUCUUGUAAUUGGAAUGAGUACAAUUUAAAUCCCUUAACGAGGAACAAUUGGAGGGCAAGUCUGGUGCCAGCAGCC
This 551-nucleotide ribosomal RNA is filed under the name uncultured fungus. RNAcentral's name for it is "SSU rRNA". It matches the Rfam family "Eukaryotic small subunit ribosomal RNA", at positions 20 to 575 of the family's 1831-position model. Lineage: Eukaryota; Fungi. The record is from RNAcentral.